GAGAUAAUAUACAAAUAAAUUGAUUAUAGCUAUUUAGUUUAUGAUUUUUUUUUCCUAUACCAGGGAUUGAACUCAGGACUUUACGCUUGCAAGGCAGGCAUGGCGCCCACCAAGCCAAAUCUCUAGCCCUAGUUUAUGAUUUUUACCAAGAUGGUAUCCCUGUAAUUUGAGACAACAGGAUGCAGAAUGCAGUAACAACCACAUGAAAAACAGGGGAGAGGGAAGAAUAAAGAGAAAGGAAAAGAAAAGGAGAAGUGGACUAAAAAGGGGCAAAAAUUGUUUAUGCCAUACUCGUGCACAAAUUGACAAAAUGAAAGCUGUUAAUCUGUGUGACUGCUAUUGAAUAAAAAGAAGGAA
RNAcentral lists this long non-coding RNA (357 nucleotides) under Fukomys damarensis (Damara mole-rat). RNAcentral's name for it is "lncRNA (ENSFDAG00000023304.1)". Lineage: Eukaryota; Metazoa; Chordata; Mammalia; Rodentia; Bathyergidae. The record is from RNAcentral.